Molecule: ribosomal RNA, 772 nt
Filed under: Cantharellus platyphyllus f. platyphyllus
Lineage: Eukaryota; Fungi; Basidiomycota; Agaricomycetes; Cantharellales; Hydnaceae
Description: LSU rRNA
Rfam family: Eukaryotic large subunit ribosomal RNA
Source: RNAcentral
CAGGCACUCAGUCGAUACUACCCGCUCAGUGGGACAUCAUAGAGGGUGACAAUCCCGUCUUUGGUGCUGAUGUUCGAGUCCUUUACGAUGCCUAUCUCAGGAGAGUCGAGUAGUUUGGGAUUUGCUGCUUGAACAUGGGAGGUAGACACCUUCUAAAGCUAAAUAUUGGCAAGAGACCGAUAGUGGACAAGUACCGCAAGGGAAAGAUGAAAUAGCACUCUGUAAAGGGAGUCAAAAGGCGUGAAAUUGUUGCGAGAGAAGCGAUUCAAGUCAGCUUGACUAGGCCCAUGAUGACAUCCGUCCUCUGGACUAGUCUCGCCAGCGGUCUCAUCUUAUUACGGUUUGACUAAGGUGCGGUACAUCCUCAACGCACGGCUGGUGGAAUGGCUUGCAAUCGACCCGUCUUGAAACACGGACCAAGGAGUCUAACAUGCAUGCAAGUAUAAGGGUGACAAACCCGUAUGCGCAAUGAAAGUGACUUUCAGUGAUUGUUGUGUGGCUUGACGACCAGACAGGAAAUAUCAUGUCCCUCGGAUGGCCACUGCCCAAGUUCUGUGGUACGAACCCAUGAACAUGGAGACGGAGCAUGCAUGCUAGGACCCGAAAGAUGGUGAACUAUGCCUGGACAGAGCGAAGCCAAAGGAAACUCUGGUGGAGGCUCGUAGCGAUUCUGACGUGCAAAUCGAUCGUCUGAUCUGGGUAUAGGGGCGAAAGACUAUCUGGACAGAGCGAAGCCAAAGGAAACUCUGGUGGAGGCUCGUANCGAUUCUGA